GAGGAGGGAGGGAGAUGAGAGGGUGAUUGCUCUUUUCUCUUGAUUUCUUCCUUUUAGUGGGUGGAUGAAGGGAGGAGGCUAGUCCUCAUCUCGCAGAGAUGUUGUCCUCAUGAUUUAGUUGAAUUUGUGAUUCAAAUCCAUGGCUAAAUCCUUUGUUUCUCCCAUUUUUCUUUUUCAGUAUUUUUGGAGCUAUUUUUGGGGAUUUUUUGUUCUUCGUAUUUGAGCUCAAAUCUUGUGAGGUUUGUUGGGGGAAAUUGGUGAUAGGAUCCUUGUGAGCAUCUUUGAUGUGUUCCCCCCUCAAAUCCCCAAGGAUUCAGCUUGAAUUUGAAGUUUUCCCAAAAUUCUCUCUCUUGUGUUCUUGACCGAAUUCCGUGAAAUCCAUAGUGAAGUCUUGAUCUUUUUGAGAUCUUUUGGGAAAAGACUCACUAGAUUGUUGCGGAGCUAUGUUAAAAUUUCGUAAAUUUUGGAGGUCAUUUGUUUGAAUUUUGAAGUGUUGACCUAAACUUUUAAGGCUGUUUUUUGUGCUUUUGGAAGUUCCGACACUGUGUAGGAAGUUUAGAUGGGAUGGAAGUUCCAACACAGAACCGGAAGUUCCGAUGAUUUCUUUUUGAAAACCCGAGAGUCCCUGUCGGUAGUUUCUCAAUACAUCUGAUAGGUGCCGGAAGUUCCGAUACAGGGUCAGAUGUUCUGACAAAACCGCUGAGAAGCUCUUGUCGGACCUCUAUAAAUAGUUCCGGUCCCACUUUCGGAAGUUUCGAUAAGAGGUCAGAAGUUUCGACAUCUAGAAGGUGUUUUGAGCUCUAUUUUGCCUCAAUCUUUUGGGUUUGAUUUUGUGUUGCUUCUAAGCCUUCCUAGCAUCGUUCCUAAGGUCAGUAGAUCUGCUAUGACUACGUGAUCUUGACAUAGCUAGAAGAGAGGGUUGAAGGUUACUUUGGGACUUAGAUCGAAUUUCUUGGAGAGUUUUUGAAUUGGCUCCCAUUCACCCCCCC
This 989-nucleotide long non-coding RNA is filed under the name Setaria viridis. RNAcentral describes it as "long non-coding RNA (SVIR_LNC007718)". Lineage: Eukaryota; Viridiplantae; Streptophyta; Magnoliopsida; Poales; Poaceae. The record is from RNAcentral.